CCUACGGGAGGCUGCAGUCGAGAAUCUUCGGCAAUGGGCGCCAGCCCGACCGAGCGACGCCGCGUGGAGGACGAAGGCCUUCGGGUUGUAAACUCCUGUCGAGGGGGAGCAAGGGGCCGUGAAGAACGGCCCUCGAGCGAUCCCUGGAGGAAGCACGGGCUAAGUUCGUGCCAGCAGCCGCGGUAAGACGAACCGUGCGAACGUUAUUCGGAAUCAUUGGGCUUAAAGGGCGCGUAGACGGAUGACCGCGUCGAGUGCUGAAAUCCCCCGGCUCAACCGGGGAACGGGCCUCGAAACGGGUUGUCUCGAGUGGAGGAGAGGGACCUGGAACGUCCGGUGGAGCGGUGAAAUGCGUUGAGAUCGGACGGAACGCCGACGGCGAAAGCAAGGUCCUGGACUCCAACUGACGUUGAGGCGCGAAAGCCAGGGGAGCGAACGGG
This 440-nucleotide ribosomal RNA is filed under the name uncultured bacterium. RNAcentral describes it as "partial 16S ribosomal RNA". It matches the Rfam family "Bacterial small subunit ribosomal RNA", at positions 338 to 776 of the family's 1533-position model. The record is from RNAcentral.